RNAcentral lists this non-coding RNA (24 nucleotides) under Arabidopsis thaliana (thale cress). The record is from RNAcentral. Lineage: Eukaryota; Viridiplantae; Streptophyta; Magnoliopsida; Brassicales; Brassicaceae.
UCAUGAAGUCAGCUAGGACCUGAG